GCUAGGGUGGCCGAGCGGUCUAAGGCGUUGGUCUCAAGUUCCAAUCUCUUCGGAGGCAUGGGUUCGAACCCCAUCCCUAGUA
Molecule: non-coding RNA, 82 nt
Organism: Blastocladiella emersonii ATCC 22665
Lineage: Eukaryota; Fungi; Blastocladiomycota; Blastocladiomycetes; Blastocladiales; Blastocladiaceae
Source: the annotation of a GenBank genome assembly